Molecule: ribosomal RNA, 346 nt
Filed under: uncultured bacterium
Lineage: Bacteria
Description: partial 16S ribosomal RNA
Rfam family: Bacterial small subunit ribosomal RNA
Source: RNAcentral
CCUACGGGAGGCAGCAGUGAGGAAUAUUGGUCAAUGGGCGAGAGCCUGAACCAGCCAAGUAGCGUGAAGGAUGACUGCCCUACGGGUUGUAAACUUCUGUUAUAAAGGAAUAAAGUGAGGCACGUGUGCCAUUUUGUAUGGAAGAUAUGAAUAAGGAUAGGCUAACUCCGUGCCAGCAGCCGCGGUAAUACGGAGGAUCCGAGCGUUAUCCGGAUUUAUUGGGUUUAAAGGGAGCGUAGUUGGGUUGUUAAGUCAGUGGUGAAAGUUUGCGGCUCAACCGUAAAAUUGCACUUGAUACUGGCAGCCUUGAGUACAGUUGAGGUAGGCGGACUUCGUGGUGUCGCGG